GUAAUGUCUGGGAAACUGCCUGAUGGAGGGGGAUAACUACUGGAAACGGUGGCUAAUACCGCAUAACGUCGCAAGACCAAAGAGGGGGACCUUCGGGCCUCUUGCCAUCAGAUGUGCCCAGAUGGGAUUAGCUUGUUGGUGAGGUAACGGCUCACCAAGGCGACGAUCCCUAGCUGGUCUGAGAGGAUGACCAGCCACACUGGAACUGAGACACGGUCCAGACUCCUACGGGAGGCAGCAGUGGGGAAUAUUGCACAAUGGGCGCAAGCCUGAUGCAGCCAUGCCGCGUGUAUGAAGAAGGCCUUCGGGUUGUAAAGUACUU
RNAcentral lists this ribosomal RNA (322 nucleotides) under Salmonella enterica subsp. enterica serovar Infantis. Its description in RNAcentral is "bacterial SSU rRNA". It matches the Rfam family "Bacterial small subunit ribosomal RNA", at positions 110 to 435 of the family's 1533-position model. Lineage: Bacteria; Pseudomonadati; Pseudomonadota; Gammaproteobacteria; Enterobacterales; Enterobacteriaceae. RNAcentral also lists the same sequence under 16 other names. The record is from RNAcentral.